This 637-nucleotide ribosomal RNA is filed under the name Nebria mellyi. RNAcentral's name for it is "partial large subunit ribosomal RNA". It matches the Rfam family "Bacterial large subunit ribosomal RNA", at positions 1829 to 2758 of the family's 2925-position model. Lineage: Eukaryota; Metazoa; Arthropoda; Insecta; Coleoptera; Carabidae. The record is from RNAcentral.
GUCCUUUAGAUAUUAAUUUAAGGUCUAACCUGCCCACUGAAUAAUUUUUAAAUGGCCGCAGUAAUUUGACUGUGCAAAGGUAGCAUAAUCAUUAGUUUUUUAAUUAAAAGCUUGUAUGAAAGGUUGGACGAAGUAAAAUCUGUCUCUAAUUAAAUUAAUUUAGAAUUUAACUUUUAAGUUAAAAGGCUUAAAUUUAACUAAAAGACGAGAAGACCCUAUAGAUCUUUAUAUUUUAAUUAUUAUAUUUAAUUAAGAAUUUUUUAAAUUUUAUUAGUUAAGUUAUUUUAUUGGGGUAAUAUAAAGAUUAAAAUAAUUCUUUUUUUUUAUUUACAUUAAUUUAUGAGUUUAAUGAUCCAGUUUUAUUGAUUAAAAGAUUAAGUUACCUUAGGGAUAACAGCGUAAUUUUUUUAGAGAGUUCUUAUCGAUAAAAAAGUUUGCGACCUCGAUGUUGGAUUAAAGAUUAUUUUAGGUGCAGAAGUUUAAAAAUUUUGGUCUGUUCGACCAUUAAAUCUUUACAUGAUCUGAGUUCAGACCGGUGUAAGCCAGGUCGGUUUCUAUCUUUAGUAAAUUAAAAUAUUUUAGUACGAAAGGACCAAUUAUUUAAUAUAUUAAUAUUUAUAAUUUUUGUUUAUUAUUA